AUACUUUAAGUUCUAGGGUAUAUGUGCACAACGUGCAGGUUUGUUACAUAUGUAUACAUGUGCCAUGUUGGUGUGCUGCACCCAUUAACUGAUAUACCUAAUGUCAUUUACAUUAGGUAUAUCUCCUACCCUACAAAGGACAUGAACUCAUCCUUAAAAAGAGCAGCAAUAUUUUGAAAGGAACCUUUUUUUUUUUUUUCUGAGCAGUAGAUCUCAAUGGCGGUUUCUUCAAAGAAACCAUGCUGUAAACAGAUGUGCUGUCAUCCAGGCUUUGUUGGUCCAUAUAUAGGGCAGGCAGAGUAGAUUUAGCAUAAUUCUUAAGGGCUCUAGGAUUUUCAGAAUAGCAAAUAAGCAUUGUCUUCAACUUAAGUAAACAGCUA
RNAcentral lists this long non-coding RNA (380 nucleotides) under Pan troglodytes (chimpanzee). Its description in RNAcentral is "long non-coding RNA NONPTRT011625". Lineage: Eukaryota; Metazoa; Chordata; Mammalia; Primates; Hominidae. The record is from RNAcentral.